Long non-coding RNA from Cyprinus carpio (common carp), 2594 nucleotides. The record is from Ensembl. NCBI's taxonomy places the organism in Eukaryota, Metazoa, Chordata, Actinopteri, Cypriniformes, Cyprinidae.
ACCCACUCAACUAUUUUCUGCACUUGUUCUUCCAUUUUGUAUCUCUUUGCUGGUCUUGCGCACUCAGAAUAAUGGACCCUGUCAUUUUCUGUGGUGGCCUCGUUGUCAUUGUAAUUAACCGGGAGCUAAAAGAUAACAAGUAGUUGUUAGUAUAAUCUCCUUUGUUGCAGAUUUGGCUGCAAAACUGUCUUCUAACAGUUCAGAAAAUAAUUCAUUUAGCUUAAAACAAAAAGCAAUUACACAUAAAAUUCACAAUUACCUCUUUAUUUUUUGUACCCAACUACUUAAAGCAGCGAUGAUGUGUAGUUUUCUUCAUUCUUCAUUUCAGCUGAAAGUCAGGUGACAGAAAUUAUAGUAAUAAUUAUACAUCAGUACUUGAUCAUUCUUGUUUUUAUUUUUUUUAUUUUAUUUUUUGUGGCAGUGCAUUCUGUUUGACCAAUCAGAAACAAGCUUUUCAAAUCGACUUUACAGGUAAUUGUUCAAUCACAGACUGUCAAAUUACAGGUUGAGCGGGCAACCGAUAUAACAUUUCAACAGAAAUCAUGUUGUUUCCUAACUAUGCUUUGUUUUAUUUCCCUGACUCGGACAUGGUGAAGGUGGACAGCACCGAUAUACUUUUAAGAGAACACAGACGAGCAGAGUACCAGGUCAGCUCCCGCGAACAACUUAGAGGUGAAGAGGGCUACGUAGAGGUGCGCCUGACAAGUCGCAGCCAACAUGGACAGACCAAGAUACUACCAGCAAAAAUACUACUUCUUAGUGACGCUUACAAAGAUUAAUUGUAAAGAGAGAUGCUUUUAAGAGAGGAGAAGACAUCUGGAAGGCCACUGAACUGCAAGGGGAAAAAAACAUCUAUAGCUGUAAAGGUUUUUGAUUUUCUUAAUCUUUUUCUAUUAAAGGUGCUGUAUGUAAGAUGUUGACUCUACUAAAGCAUAAAAAUAUCCUAAUAUGUUUGCAGAUAUUUAAGAAACAUGCUAAGUUAACAUACUUGUUUAUCUGAAAUACAAUGCUACAGUCAGUUAUUCUCCUUUGAAAAUGUGCGUCCCGGGCCGGAAUGUCUGUCUGUGUUUUGGUUUCUGAAACCCACCCACUGCCAGUUUACCCAAUUGUAUUUCGGCACCUGGGUUGCCAGUUGGCAGAAAACACAGCGUAUUCCAUUUCAUUCAUCGUCAAGUGCGCUCGUUCCUGUUUGUGUCGGCAAUCUGGCAACCUGCUUGAGGAGGAGGGGCAGGGUGAAAAAACCCUCUCCAAUAUUUAGAAUUUGGACUGGAAUACCUAGUUCAACCACUCGGUGUCAAUCCUACAUACAGCACCUGUAAGGGUUUUUUUGUUUGGGUUUUUUUUUUGAAGUGUUAAUUUUAAUGUGUUGCUUUUAGAGUGCAAGUACAACUCAAAGAGUUGAGACCUCCAGAACUUACAAAGGAAAAAAGCAGCACUUGUAACCUCUACUCCAAUGUCAGACGAUUCAGAUAACACUGACAUUGAUCCGUUUGAAAAUACAGAGCAGAGACCAUCAAGGAAAAGGAAGCAGCAUUUUAAUUUCAUAUAAAAUAAUUUUAACAGUUUUUUUUGUUUGUUUGUUUUUUCAAAUCUGACUAAUAGAGCAAGGUUCGCCACCACUUGUUUUUAGAAGGAGAUUCAUAAAGCAUGCUCUAUUUCAGGUGUCCCAUUGGUUCCUUCAGUAAGAUUGAAAAGAAAUGUUUAAAUAUGUAAAAAUAUAUUUUAAGCCUCUUCUAACCUUGUGCCAAAUGUAACAUACAGGCUGCACUGGACAGUGAAGCGAACAAGAAGAUAAUGUAAGCAAGGAUUUUGAGAACAGUCUUUUGCAGAGGACAUCUCCCCAGAACACUCCCGUCACGCUUUAUGAUGAUGUUGUCAAAGCUUUGAAAGGUAAAAUUCUAGGAAUUAAAAUGUAAAUAUGAAACCUUUAUUAAAAGAUUCAAUUCCUGAGUCAACAAUUCUUGAUCAGCUUCUCUCUUUUAGGUUACAAAAUUAUAUGUACAUGUGUGCAUUCAGCCUAGUUUUUAUAAUCAGUCUGUCCAAUUUAGUUACGUUAGAUUAGGUUAAACUAAAGGGGACCUAUCAUGCAAAAUUCUCUUUUAUAAGGAGUUUGAACACAAUUGUGUGUCCACAGUGUAUGUAAUCAACACCUGUAAUGGUAAAAAUCCCCCCACUCAUUUUUUUUAUAAUCCCCUAAAUCAUAAACAGUCUCUCUGAACAUGCCAUUCCAGAUUUCUCCCUAUGUUCAUGUCACUGUGAUCUGAAACUUCUGCAUCAUGAACAGUUUUUAAUGAUCCAUUUUGAGUUAUAUUUGCUGUGUGAGCUUCUCCUGUAUUGUUUGUCAGUGUAAAGUGAAUCACGAACACAUGAAAUCAGCACAUUGUUUCGCCCACCCAAAAAGAGGCAGUUAAUACAUCAUAUAACAAAUGAUCCGUGGGGUAUUUUGAUCUGAAACUUCACAGACAUAUUUUGGGACACCUAAGAUUUAUAUUGCAAAAAGGGGCAUAAUAGGUCACCUUUAAUGUUUUAAAUGCAAUUGUUGUCUACAGAAGAGGAUUAGGGCCGAGCAAUAAUAAACACACUUGUAAUGUUCA